RNAcentral lists this long non-coding RNA (3436 nucleotides) under Homo sapiens (human). RNAcentral describes it as "HSALNT0067548". The record is from RNAcentral. Lineage: Eukaryota; Metazoa; Chordata; Mammalia; Primates; Hominidae.
GUGGAGGGCAUGUGGUAUUUCAGCCUCCACCCAGCUGCUGAACAGACAGGCACACACUGAACAGCCUCACCCGCCACAGCCUUGCUCUCAAGCGUUCUGCUUUCCUGCAUCAGCAGAAAUAAGGGGACCAAUUUAUCAUACCUGCUGGGUGCCAGAUGACGUAACUACGGCUUUGGGAUGUUACGCAACGAGUAAGGCCUUGUGAGUCUUCACAGAAAGGGACUGGCCUGGAGGCUCCGAGCGGUCAGCUAGUUCCCGUCACUGUUCUCCCCGGGAAGCUGUGGAUGGGCAGUGACCCAGGCAGGGAAAGGGUAAGAAUCGCUGCUUGAGGACCCAAGAGGCUUCACCUCCCUCCUCAGACAGGAACCCGGGAAAGGGCUUUGCCCGGGAAGGUCUAUGAUAGGGAUUCUCACAGUGAGACAGGACCAGCAUCUCCUGAGACAAACUACUGCUCUUGAAUUUGAAAAGAAUUCUCAAGUCUGCGUCUCAUCUCUAAUUCUUUCUACCACUGUGUCUUUUUCCCAGUUGGCAUUGGCAGCCACGAAACAGCUUGAGGGGCCAGGCGCGGCGGCUCACGCCUGUAAUCCCAGCACUUUGGGAGGCCAAGGUGGGCGGCUCACCUGAGGUUGGGAGUUUGAGACCAGCCUGACCAACAUGCAGAAACUCCGUCUCUACUAAAAAAAAAAAAAAAAAAAUACAAAUUAGCCAGGUGUGGUGGUGCAUGCCUGUAAUCCCAGCUACUCGGGAGGCUGAGGCAGGAGAAUCACUUGAACCCAGGGGGCGAAGGUUGCAGUGAGCCAAGAUUGCACCACUGCACUCCAGCCUGGACAACAAGACCGAAACUCCAUCUCAAACAAAACGAAACGAAACGAAACAAAACAAAACAAAACAAAAACAGCUUGAGGACCAGAUAGGGCAUCAAAAGCGGAGAAAGCUGGGGAACUCUGUGUCCUCUGAAUCCAGUUCAGAUGGAAAGGAAGCCCCAGAGGGAGGACAGGUGGGGGCAGCUGGAAAGACAAGACCAGGCUCCCCUUCUUGGGUGUGGAGGGAGACAGUGGUCGGGACCCCCAGAGAGGGCAGAGCACCGGGCUGGCCGGUGGGGUGGGGUUCCCCGCAGGAGGCCUGUGCCGCCGGCUGUGUGGCCUGCGGAGGAGCCUGCCGAGCCUGCCGAGCCCCGCAUCCGGUGGGAAGUAGGAGUCUGGCACUUCCGGCUCGGGCUGCUGCAGCGGUUCCGGGCAUCUGCGCUAUUAGAAUUCUCCCGGCUCGCGGCGGCCGCAGGAAUCCAGUCACGUGGUAGACGUGGUGCCUGGGAGCCGGGGUCAGCGAGCGCUCAGUCUGAGAGAAAACGUGUUCCUUCCCCCUGAGACGUGUCCCGUGCCGGGCGAUGGCUCGCGGCAAACCUCCGCUCCCACAGGGAAGGAGCCCUGUGAGGCCUGGCCUGGGAGCUCUCGGGAGCGUGGGUGGAGAUAGAGAUGAAUCUACAAAAUGGAAAAAGUGUUGAACUUGGGAGUCAAGAGACCAGGAUUCUAGUUCUGAUGAUGCCCUUCACAUACCGAAUGCCCUGGGGAAGCCGCUUCCCUUCUCUCAGCCUUGGGUUCUCCAUGUGUCAAAUUAGGCUGUGGAAAAAGAAACACUCAUCUGGCUGAACGGAGACAUGAGCCUCUGUAAACUGAUUCUUCCUCCACAAAGGGGCCCUGGCCCUCACAGCCCCAUCCUCUUUCAUCCUUGCUGCCUGAUCCUAGGGAAGCUUUGCUCUGGUGGUGCCUGGAGCUGUGAUGUAUGCAGUCAUUUGAAACCCCAGCUUUGUGGAAGACACGAGACAUUGAUUUUUACUCUACCAUUUGGAGAAAAAUCAUUUUUAUAUUAGCAGAAAUGUUGAUAGACAAGGAGCAAAGUUUAAGGUUGGAAUGACUUUAAGAUUCAUUCAUUUUUUAAAAAUUUAUACUUAUUGAGUGCUUACUAUGUGCCAGCCCUGUCCUAGGCCCUUGGGGACUGGUUGGUAAAUAAAGCAGAUAGAGUAGUCGAUAAUGCCUGAUAUAGUUUGGAUGACUGUCCCCUCCAAAUCUCAUGUUGAAAUGUAAUCCCAAUAUUGGAGGCGGGGCUUGGUGGGAGGUGUUUGGGUCUCGUGGGUGGACCCUCAUGAAUGGCUGGGUGCUGUCCUAGAGGCGGUGAGUGCGUUCUCAUGAGAUCUGGUUGUCUAAAAACAUGUGGCACCUGCCCCCUCUCUCUCUCGCUUCCACUCUCACCAUGUGACACCCAGCUCCUGCUUCACCUUCCACUGUGAUUAAAAGCUUUCUGAGGCCCUCACCAGAUGCUGAUGCCAGCACUAUGCUCCCUGUACAGUCUGUAGGACCAUGAGCCAAUUAAACUUUUUUUUCUUUUCUUUUCUCUUCUCUUCUCUUCUUCUCUUUUCUUUUUGAGAUGGAGCCUUGCUCUGUCACCCAGGCUGGAGUGCAGUAGCGCCAUCUCAGCUCACUCCAACUUCUGCCUCCUGGGUUCAAGCGAUUCUCCUGCCUCAGCCUCCCAAGUAGCUGGGACUACAUGUGUGUGCUACCACGACCAGCUAAUUUUUUAUGGGUUUCACCAUGUUAGCCAGGAUGGUCUCAAUCUCCUGACCUCGUGAUCCACCCUCCUCGGCCUCCCAACGUGCUGGGAUUAUAGGCGUGAGCCACUGCACCCAGCCAAUUUCUAGUGUUUUCUUUUGAUUCUUUCUUAGAGUUUCCAUCUCUGAGCUUACAUUAACUCUAUGUCCUUGCAGUAGAAUCCUGCAUGUAUUAAUCAUAGUCAUUUUAAAUUCCCUGUCUGAUCAUUCCAGCAUUUGCAUCAUAUCCAGAUCUGGUUCUGGUGCUUGCUCAUUUCUUCAGACUUUGCUUUUUCUUGCCUUUUAGCAUAGCUUAUAACAUUUUUUGAAAGCCAAAAAUGAUGUAAUUGAGUAAUAGAAACUGAUGUAAAUAGCCCAUCAGUGUGAGAUUUAUGUUAAUCUGGCUAGAAGUUGGGCCAUGUAUAAUGUUUUCUGUAUGCUGGGGCUUAGAAACCAAUACCCCAAAAUACGGCAUUUUGACAUGCUGAGCUGAAGAAGCUUCCAGGUCUCUCUGACCUCCCUCAUCACUUUCUCUGCCAUAUAACUUGAAGUUCCUUUAUCUGCCUAUCUACUGUGGAAAAUGAGUCCAACAACCUAAGCACACCUGAACAGACACGUUACAGGUACAGUGACUGUCUCAGAGUCCUGAAUCGAUUCACUCUUCCUAGUAAUCCUCUCAAGAGAAUUCCUCUUCUGCCCGCUACCAUAGCCUGUUUGAUCAGGAUGCAAGCCCCCAUUCUAUCGGUAACCUCGAGAUGGUAUACAAGCUUUUGUACAUCACUGGGAGGUUGGGUCUUCAUUCUGAAGGCUCCCAUGUAUACACAUUAAAUAAAUCUGUAUGCCUUUUCUCCCAUU